This is a non-coding RNA of Gossypium raimondii (Peruvian cotton), 402 nucleotides long. NCBI's taxonomy places the organism in Eukaryota, Viridiplantae, Streptophyta, Magnoliopsida, Malvales, Malvaceae. The record is from Rfam.
AACGUUGUCGAGACCUUAAUUCUUCAGUCAAGAGAAAGCCUCUCUAAUGGCAAUUAAUUUGAUCAAUCUCAAUUAGAAAGCAGAGAGAAUACGUCCGAGGAGGGGCUCACGUCUGAUUAGCUAGUUGGUGAGGCAAUAGCUUACCAAGGCGAUGAUCAGUAGCUGGCCCGAAAGGGUGAUUAGCCACACUGGACUGAGACACGACCCAGACUCUUACAGGAGGCAACACUGGGAAAUUUUCCGCAAUGGGCGAAAGCCUGACGGAGCAAUGCCGUGUGGAGGUAGAAGGCCCACGAGUCGUGAACUUCUUUUUCCCGGAGAAGAAGCAAUGACGGUAUUUGGGGAAUAAGCAUCAGCUAACUUUAUGCCAACAGCCGCGGUAAUACAGAGGAUGCAAGCGUU